RNAcentral lists this ribosomal RNA (496 nucleotides) under uncultured bacterium. RNAcentral describes it as "partial 16S ribosomal RNA". It matches the Rfam family "Bacterial small subunit ribosomal RNA", at positions 28 to 507 of the family's 1533-position model. The record is from RNAcentral.
GAUGAACGCUGGCGGCGUGCCUAAUACAUGCAAGUCGAGCGAACAGAUGAGGAGCUUGCUCCUCUGACGUUAGCGGCGGACGGGUGAGUAACACGUGAUAACCUACCUAUAAGACUGGGAUAACUUCGGGAAACCGGAGCUAAUACCGGAUAAUAUAUUGAACCGCAUGGUUCAAUAGUGAAAGACGGUUUUGCUGUCACUUAUAGAUGGAUCCGCGCCGCAUUAGCUAGUUGGUAAGGUAACGGCUUACCAAGGCAACGAUGCGUAGCCGACCUGAGAGGGUGAUCGGCCACACUGGAACUGAGACACGGUCCAGACUCCUACGGGAGGCAGCAGUAGGGAAUCUUCCGCAAUGGGCGAAAGCCUGACGGAGCAACGCCGCGUGAGUGAUGAAGGUCUUCGGAUCGUAAAACUCUGUUAUUAGGGAAGAACAAAUGUGUAAGUAACUAUGCACGUCUUGACGGUACCUAAUCAGAAAGCCACGGCUAACUACGUG